RNAcentral lists this long non-coding RNA (1100 nucleotides) under Monodelphis domestica (gray short-tailed opossum). Its description in RNAcentral is "lncRNA (ENSMODG00000030464.2)". Lineage: Eukaryota; Metazoa; Chordata; Mammalia; Didelphimorphia; Didelphidae. The record is from RNAcentral.
CCAGCUUGGCCCGGCCCCUUCUCACCAACUACAACCCAACGUGGCCCUUCCGCCCCGCCCCCCCUCCCCGCCCCCGGUCCUCUCUCAGGCCUGGGGAGGCCGAACCUGAAGACUGCAGAUAGCGCGGAUGCUUCCCAAGCCCACCUUUUUGGACCCAGAGGAAGAUGAGGUGUGGGGAGGGGAGGCAAAAGGAGAACAGAAGAGAGAAAGGGAAGAAAGCUGGCCGCGCGGAGGUGGAGGGGGGGGGGCUGGGCGGAGAGGGAGGGAGAGCCUAUUUGCUCGUAAACAGUUCGGGCCCUCUUAAUGGAGGUCAGUGGGAAGCAGAAGGCAACGGAUAACUUUCGGAGAGACGGGCGCCCCAGAAGACUAGUUGUGCCUUUACCCAACGCCACUCUCCAUCCGGCUGCCCUCGCGUCUUCACCCCCCACCCCCAGCCUUUUCUUCUUGCUGGCUCCUUUCUGCAGCCCCGCCUUGGAGCGGAGGCCGGGCAAGGGCUGGAGAGGGCCGAGUAAACACGCCAUUUACUUUGUGUAUUGAGAAGCCCUGAAGAGUCCUCACCAAACACUCACCACCAGCCUCUCCCACGUGCCAUUUGUUGACUAAGUGCGGCGGGUUUUGCAGCCACCCGAGAGGAGGGGAAGGGGGAAAAGGGCGGAUAAGGGAAGAGGGGGGGAGUGGUGGUGUCUGGGGGGAGAUGGCCAAUGCUGGAGCGAGUGUGAGUGGAAGCGUGCGGGUGAAUGUGUGCGUGUGAGCGCGUGGGGGUGGGGGAAUGCAUGGGUGUGUAUGUCAGUCAGUCUUUUGGUGCUGGAGUGUGUAUGUAUGUGCCAGUGAACGUUAGUGUGUCAGUGUGUCAGAGUGCGCCCGAGUGUCAGGGAUUAUCUGUGUUGUGCCGUGUAUAUGUGUGUGUUGUGAAGUCUGUGUUGCGGGGCGUGUGUGCGUGUGCGCGCGCGCCUCCAUAUCAGCUCUUUCCCAAGACCCAGCAGAGGCGGCGCCCCUUCAGCUGUUGCCAGAAAACCGGGGAAGAAAAAUUCUUCUCAUCCUUCAAGAUUCAACUCCAAGGCCAUUUCCUCCUUGAGACCUCUUGUGAUUGCCCUGUCUAA